UACGAGUACUCGCUAAUGGCGGACGGUGGAGGUGGUGUUCCUGUCGCAUUUGUGAUUUCACACUAAAUAGGAAGGAAUCGGCGCUGGAUUGUUACACAACUGUUGCACCAGUGAAGGAUGUCUGUGUGCCGCCUUGCAUUCAGUUUCUCAGUCAUGGGGGCCUGCUUGCAACACCAGUGGCAAAGCAGUCUUGCAUUGUGCUAUUUGUUCUGGAAGUACACAAGCAUUGAGGAGCCAUUUGACCUGCCACUACACUGAUACGGUAUUUGGUAGGUUCUAUUACAGGUUUUCUUUCGUGUAGUAGUACCUGCUAUAAUUCUGUAUAACGUGUUCAGACCUUUAGUCAGCAGGCUGUUUGACAACAGGUGUUUACAAAUGAAUAACUAACAAGAUUUUCAAGGUCAUUAGUGAUGCAAUCGUUGCACACUGCUGCAUUUUUCUGCAAAUUAAUUGAUGAGCCACCCAGCAAGUGCUGCUCUCCUGCCUUAAUGCACAAACCUUCAAAUACUGUUAACCCUAUAUCACAAGUGUACAGCAAAUGGAGAUGACUGUUCACAGCGACAAGUUCAUAAUGUUUACUUACAUGCAAAAGGGAGUCAAACGUCAGGUACACAUUUGAAGUUUUCCAAAACAAGUUCAUCAUCAUAGUGCAUAAAUGAAGAAGUAACUUAGCGCAAUAAAAUUACACAGGCACAAGAAAGGGAGACAAAGACAAGCGCUUGGUGACUCAGAAGUGUGUGACAUAUAUGUUCCAACCAAUUAUUAUUUUCUAAAUUUUCUUCUACUGAUCCAGGAUUCCUGUGACUACUUGCCUUAGGUAACAUACUCUGUUGCCUUCUUGCCCUAGAAACAUAACUAGUGCCUUCUUGCAGCCCUUUAAACUGGCAACAUCUUCACCACCGACAGUAGAGCAUGUUCAGAUAAAUUCAACUAGACAUGCCUGGUGACCACUUAAUUUUGGUGAACAAAUUUUAUUUUGUGCCCGAGCCUGAUGACAAUGAAAUCAAUGAUAUCUUCUAUUUUGUUGUAGCGCAAGCUG
Dermacentor silvarum is the source of this 1039-nucleotide long non-coding RNA. RefSeq lists it as uncharacterized. Lineage: Eukaryota; Metazoa; Arthropoda; Arachnida; Ixodida; Ixodidae. The transcript has 3 exons. The record is from RefSeq and is a predicted model, not a curated record.